AACAAUAAACUGUCACAAAAUCUCACAAAUAUUCUAGAAAUAUCUAACAUAUAUUUUCAUUGAACCUAGCCCUAACUGCUUGUCCUGAACCCAUCUCUAAUACAAUUAUUCAUUGAUAAAUAAUUACUAACUAAACAGUAUCUGGCACAGUUGCUGGUUGAGAACCAAAGUGCCAGUUAGCAACCAACUUUUUAUAACUGUCAACAUAAUAUUAAAAAAGAUGGUAUUUAAUUGUAUGGCUAAUUGUUUAUUAAUUAUCAAGGUCCCGGGACGAAAGGCGAAGACCAGUCUCUGAAAUCUCCCAGCGAUGCUGAGAAUGUUAAAGGCGUUUAUGCAAAUGAUGAGAUAGAAAAAUAGCAGCUCUACUUCUGUGAAUUGUCUGGUGGAGAAACUUAAACUGCAUAAUGAGGAUUUCGCAUCGUAUCAUCUAUCGCAAGGACAUUCUUUUUUAGAAAUGAGCAGUAAACUUUUUAUGAAUGUGAAGUUAGUUUGUUUUGUUCGCCAGUUGUAAACUUUUCAGUUGAAUUGCUGCACUGUGCAGGGAAUUGGAAUUUUAUUUUAUUUUUUUCUCCAAACUGUCCACACUGUUUGCAUAUCAUCAGUU
Molecule: long non-coding RNA, 604 nt
Filed under: Sinocyclocheilus anshuiensis
Lineage: Eukaryota; Metazoa; Chordata; Actinopteri; Cypriniformes; Cyprinidae
Description: lncRNA (ENSSANG00000050458.1)
Source: RNAcentral